GACGAACGCUGGCGGCGUGCUUAACACAUGCAAGUCGAACGGAAAGGCCUGCUUUCCCUUGUGGAUUGCGGGUACUCGAGUGGCGAACGGGUGAGUAACACGUGAGUGAUCUGCCCCCAACUUGGGUAUAAGCCUGGGAAACUGGGUCUAAUUCCCGAUAGGACUGCAGGGUGGUGCCUGUGGUGGAAAACGAUUUUCUAGUGGUUGGGGAUGAGCUCGCGGCCUAUCAGCUUGUUGGUGGGGUAAUGGCCUACCAAGGCGGCGACGGGUAGCCGGCCUGAGAGGGUGGACGGCCACAUUGGGACUGAGAUACGGCCCAGACUCCUACGGGAGGCAGCAGUGGGGAAUAUUGUACAAUGGGCGGAAGCCUGAUGCAGCGACGCCGCGUGGGGGAUGACGGCCUUCGGGUUGUAAACUCCUUUCGACCGCGAGGAAGCCACCUGGUUGGAAGGGUGGUGACGGUAGUGGUAGAAGAAGCACCGGCUAACUACGUG
This 494-nucleotide ribosomal RNA is filed under the name uncultured bacterium. Its description in RNAcentral is "partial 16S ribosomal RNA". It matches the Rfam family "Bacterial small subunit ribosomal RNA", at positions 28 to 507 of the family's 1533-position model. The record is from RNAcentral.